RNAcentral lists this transfer RNA (75 nucleotides) under Candidatus Staskawiczbacteria bacterium RIFCSPHIGHO2_02_FULL_34_9. RNAcentral describes it as "tRNA-Asn". It matches the Rfam family "tRNA". Rfam says of the family: Transfer RNA (tRNA) molecules are approximately 80 nucleotides in length. Their secondary structure includes four short double-helical elements and three loops (D, anti-codon, and T loops). The record is from RNAcentral. Lineage: Bacteria; Candidatus Staskawicziibacteriota.
UCCCCUGUAGCUCAGCGGUAGAGCGUCUCCCUGUUAAGGAGCGGGUCGUAGGUUCGAAUCCUACCGGGGGAGCCC